CCCUAGUAACGGCGAGUGAAGCGGCAACAGCUCAGAUUUGAAAUCUGGCGUCUUUGGCGUCCGAGUUGUAAUCUGUAGAGGAUGCUUUUGGGUAGCCACCGGUCUAAGUCCCCUGGAACGGGGCGUCACAGAGGGUGAGAAUCCCGUAUGUGACCGGAAGGGCGCCCUCUACAUAGCUCCUUCGACGAGUCGAGUUGUUUGGGAAUGCAGCUCUAAAUGGGAGGUAAAUUCCUUCUAAAGCUAAAUACCGGCCAGAGACCGAUAGCGCACAAGUAGAGUGAUCGAAAGAUGAAAAGCACUUUGGAAAGAGAGUUAAAAAGCACGUGAAAUUGUUGAAAGGGAAGCGCUUGCAACCAGACUUGUUGGCGGUGUUCCGCCGGUCUUCUGACCGGUUUACUCACCGUCUGCAGGCCAGCAUCAUCUGGGGCCGCUGGAUAAAAGCGAGGGGAAUGUGGCUCCCCCGGGAGUGUUAUAGCCCCUCGUGCAAUACAGCGAGCCUCGGGUGAGGUCCGCGCUUCGGCUAGGAUGCUGGCGUAAUGGUCGUAAGCGGCCCGUCUUGAAACACGGACCAAGGAGUCUAACAUCUAUGCGAGUGUUCGGGUGUCAAACCCCUACGCGUAAUGAAAGUGAACGGAGGUGGGAGCCUUAGGGUGCACCAUCGACCGAUCCUGAUGUCUUCGGAUGGAUUUGAGUAAGAGCAUAGCUGUUGGGACCCGAAAGAUGGUGAACUAUGCCUGGAUAGGGUGAAGCCAGAGGAAACUCUGGUGGAGGCUCGCAGCGGUUCUGACGUGCAAAUCGAUCGUCAAAUUUGGGUAUAGGGGCGAAAGACUAAUCGAACCAUCUAGUAGCUGG
This 852-nucleotide ribosomal RNA is filed under the name Conidiocarpus asiaticus. RNAcentral describes it as "partial large subunit ribosomal RNA". It matches the Rfam family "Eukaryotic large subunit ribosomal RNA", at positions 78 to 954 of the family's 3401-position model. Lineage: Eukaryota; Fungi; Ascomycota; Dothideomycetes; Capnodiales; Capnodiaceae. The record is from RNAcentral.